This 495-nucleotide ribosomal RNA is filed under the name uncultured bacterium. Its description in RNAcentral is "partial 16S ribosomal RNA". It matches the Rfam family "Bacterial small subunit ribosomal RNA", at positions 28 to 507 of the family's 1533-position model. The record is from RNAcentral.
GACGAACGCUGGCGGCGUGCCUAAUACAUGCAAGUCGAACGCUGAAGGAGGAGCUUGCUCUUCUGGAUGAGUUGCGAACGGGUGAGUAACGCGUAGGUAACCUGCCUGGUAGCGGGGGAUAACUAUUGGAAACGAUAGCUAAUACCGCAUAACAGUAGAUGUUGCAUGACAUUUACUUAAAAGGUGCAAUUGAAUCACUACCAGAUGGACCUGCGUUGUAUUAGCUAGUUGGUGGGGUAACGGCUCACCAAGGCGACGAUACAUAGCCGACCUGAGAGGGUGAUCGGCCACACUGGGACUGAGACACGGCCCAGACUCCUACGGGAGGCAGCAGUAGGGAAUCUUCGGCAAUGGACGGAAGUCUGACCGAGCAACGCCGCGUGAGUGAAGAAGGUUGUCGGAUCGUAAAGCUCUGUUGUAAGAGAAGAACGAGUGUGAGAGUGGAAAGUUCACACUGUGACGGUAGCUUACCAGAAAGGGACGGCUAACUACGUG